UUGUCCUUUACUAAAAUGUCUAUUUCUGUUACUUCUUCCUGCUGAACCUAUGAGAGGUGCGAACACAUCGCUGUUACUAAACGUGAAGACUGGAGUAGGCUAGCAGAGAAAAUGAAUACAUUACAGACAACUCCAAGCCAGGCACAGAGCUGGAUGCCAAAGGCCACUCGUGGACCAUGAUGCGCACGCUGACGGUUCCCAGACGCUGAUCUGCUGUUCAAGUAAAUGGAAAUUACUGAUUUACUUAAAGCAACUGGAACUCUGUAACUGAAAAUAUAAACCAGAUCAAUGAUACAAUCACAAGAGAGAAUCUGUUCUGCCACCCUGUAAUUUCCUCACAUCACUUAUUUUAUUCUCCUGUUUUAAGAAUUGUGUCUAUUAAAAAAUCACUCACAAAACUCACCAAACGUCCAUCUCUUUUAGCUCUGCCACUCAGAGCUGGAUGGGUUUUUAUUCACCCUCAAGUAGUUUAACAGAUCACCCAAAACUUUGCAUCUUCACUUCCUGAGUUUUUCUGGUUUCUGGGAAUUU
Molecule: long non-coding RNA, 531 nt
Organism: Pogoniulus pusillus (Red-fronted tinkerbird)
Lineage: Eukaryota; Metazoa; Chordata; Aves; Piciformes; Lybiidae
Exons: 3
Source: RefSeq, a predicted model, not a curated record